GAUGAAGAACGCAGCGAAAUGCGAUAAGUAGUGUGAAUUGCAGAAUUCAGUGAAUCAUCGAAUCUUUGAACGCACAUUGCGCCUCCUGGUAUUCCGGGAGGCAUGCCUGUUCGAGCGUCAUUAAAAUCACUCAAGCUUAGGUUUACCUAUUGCUUGGUCUUGGAGAUGGAAGCCAAUUCAUUGGAAUCCUCUUCGAAAUCCAAUGGCGAAGACCCUUGCUCUCCCAAGUGUAGUAAUAACUUAUUUCACUGAAGGAAGCGAGAAAUCUUCCGCCGUAACCCCCAUAUUUUCUAUGAUUGACCUCGGAUCAGGUAGGGAUACCCGCUGAACUUAAGCAUAUCAAUAAGCGGAGGA
RNAcentral lists this unclassified non-coding RNA (354 nucleotides) under soil metagenome. RNAcentral describes it as "partial contains 5.8S ribosomal RNA, internal transcribed spacer 2, and large subunit ribosomal RNA". The stretch from base 1 to 120 matches the Rfam family "5.8S ribosomal RNA", at positions 35 to 154 of the family's 154-position model. The record is from RNAcentral.